ACGAACGCUGGCGGCGUGCUUAACACAUGCAAGUCGAACGGAAAGGCCCUGCUUUUGUGGGGUGCUCGCGUGGCGAACGGGUGAGUAACACGUGAGUAACCUGCCCUUGACUUUGGGAUAACUUCAGGAAACUGGGGCUAAUACCGGAUAUGAGCUCCUGCUGCAUGGUGGGGGUUGGAAAGUUUCGGCGGUUGGGGAUGGACUCGCGGCUUAUCAGCUUGUUGGUGGGGUAGUGGCUUACCAAGGCUUUGACGGGUAGCCGGCCUGAGAGGGUGACCGGCCACAUUGGGACUGAGAUACGGACCAGAAUCCUACGGGAGGCAGCAGUGGGGAAUAUUGCACAAUGGGCGGAAGCCUGAUGCAGCAACGCCGCGUGCGGGAUGACGGCCUUCGGGUUGUAAACCGCUUUCGCCUGUGACGAAGCGUGAGUGACGGUAAUGGGUAAAGAAGCACCGGCUAACUACGUG
This 467-nucleotide ribosomal RNA is filed under the name uncultured bacterium. RNAcentral's name for it is "partial 16S ribosomal RNA". It matches the Rfam family "Bacterial small subunit ribosomal RNA", at positions 29 to 507 of the family's 1533-position model. The record is from RNAcentral.